GACUGGCAGCCCAGUCAAUCACGUCCACCCCACACCGGAACCAAGCAUCUUCUGUGUAACGCGUGGAAGAACAAGGAGAUAAUGACUGUUUGCAUUUACCGCAAAUACAUCUCUGCGGAUCCAUUGCUUCACUAAAUGUUUAGUUUGGUCAAGAAUGUCCACUUCCGCCAAAAUCGGCAGAUGACAACCCAGACCUAUCGAAGGUUUCCGCGCGAGAAAACGCAGGUUGGAUGAACCAAGAUCUGGAGACUGAACGGAGCGAAUAAAGACCGUGAAUUGGGAAGACGUUUGACGUCUGCUAUAUACGCCA
This 310-nucleotide small RNA is filed under the name Histoplasma capsulatum var. duboisii H88. RNAcentral describes it as "Histoplasma capsulatum H88 hypothetical RNA". The record is from RNAcentral. Lineage: Eukaryota; Fungi; Ascomycota; Eurotiomycetes; Onygenales; Ajellomycetaceae.